RNAcentral lists this transfer RNA (91 nucleotides) under Amphritea atlantica. RNAcentral describes it as "tRNA-Ser". It matches the Rfam family "tRNA". Rfam says of the family: Transfer RNA (tRNA) molecules are approximately 80 nucleotides in length. Their secondary structure includes four short double-helical elements and three loops (D, anti-codon, and T loops). The record is from RNAcentral. RNAcentral also lists the same sequence under 9 other names. Lineage: Bacteria; Pseudomonadati; Pseudomonadota; Gammaproteobacteria; Oceanospirillales; Oceanospirillaceae.
GGAGGGGUGGCUGAGUGGUCGAAAGCACUGGUCUUGAAAACCAGCGAGGGUUAAUAGCCCUCCCAGGGUUCGAAUCCCUGCCCCUCCGCCA